This 504-nucleotide ribosomal RNA is filed under the name uncultured bacterium. RNAcentral describes it as "partial 16S ribosomal RNA". It matches the Rfam family "Bacterial small subunit ribosomal RNA", at positions 30 to 523 of the family's 1533-position model. The record is from RNAcentral.
AUUGAACGCUGGCGGCAGGCCUAACACAUGCAAGUCGAACGGUAGCACAGAGAGCUUGCUCUCGGGUGACGAGUGGCGGACGGGUGAGUAACGUCUGGGAAACUGCCCGAUGGAGGGGGAUAACUACUGGAACCGGUAGCUAAUACCGCAUAACGUCGCAAGACCAAAGUGGGGGACCUUCGGGCCUCACACCAUCGGAUGUGCCCAGAUGGGAUUAGCUAGUAGGUGGGGUAAUGGCUCACCUAGGCGACGAUCCCUAGCUGGUCUGAGAGGAUGACCAGCCAACCUGGAGCUGAGACACGGUCCAGACUCCUACGGGAGGCAGCAGUGGGGAAUAUUGCACAAUGGGCGCAAGCCUGAUGCAGCCAUGCCGCGUGUAUGAAGAAGGCCUUCGGGUUGUAAAGUACUUUCAGCGGGGAGGAAGGCGGUGGAGUUAAUAACUUCACCGAUUGACGUUACCCGCAGAAGAAGCACCGGCUAACUCCGUGCCAGCCGCCGCCGUAA